Molecule: ribosomal RNA, 404 nt
Filed under: uncultured bacterium
Lineage: Bacteria
Description: bacterial SSU rRNA
Rfam family: Bacterial small subunit ribosomal RNA
Source: RNAcentral
UGGGGAAUAUUGCACAAUGGGCGGAAGCCUGAUGCAGCAACGCCGCGUGCGGGAUGAAGGCCUUCGGGUUGUAAACCGCUUUCACCAGGGGCGAAUGUGACGGUACCUGGAGAAGAAGCACCGGCUAACUACGUGCCAGCAGCCGCGGUGAUACGUAGGGUGCGAGCGUUGUCCGGAUUUAUUGGGCGUAAAGAGCUCGUAGGUGGUUUGUUGCGUCGGAAGUGAAAACUUGGGGCUUAACUCCAGGCUUGCUUUCGAUACGGGCAGACUUGAGGGAUGUAGGGGAGAACGGAAUUCCUGGUGGAGCGGUGGAAUGCGCAGAUAUCAGGAGGAACACCGGUGGCGAAGGCGGUUCUCUGGACAUUUCCUGACGCUGAGGAGCGAAAGCGUGGGGAGCAAACAGG